Molecule: non-coding RNA, 1012 nt
Organism: Ciona intestinalis (vase tunicate)
Lineage: Eukaryota; Metazoa; Chordata; Ascidiacea; Phlebobranchia; Cionidae
Source: RefSeq, a predicted model, not a curated record
AAGAGAAAAUUAAUCAGAAACUUAACGGGAAGUUAUUUAAACAACGUCAACGAUCACUAAUUAAUGUUCUAGCUGGUGUAAUAAACACGACAUUCGAUAAGUUUUGUUCUAUGUUGUCACGACUUUAUAAGAGUUUUUAUCCAGUGUUCCUGGCAGGUGUAAUCGCUGCUACCGUUAUAAUUACAUACGCGGUAACUUGUAAGCUGGCACGAGGUGUAUGAAACAGAACACCCGUGUUAUAAUGACAGUCCUUGUCGCCAUGUGAGGUUAAAUAAGUUACUUUCAUUCAGAAUACUUUCUAAGCGAAUCAAAGAUUUCUUGAGACCAAUAUUUAAUCUUAUAUAUUCGGUAAAACGUUAUCAAAGUUUUUAAUAAAAUACAUAAACGUUUCUUUUCGGAAAACAGACAAAUUUCCUGAAGUAAGUAUUAGCUGCGGUCUUUGCGUUUGGCACUGAGCAAUUAUGGCGGUAGUUUUGAAACGUUGAAUCGAAUUUCGGUUGUUUUUCAGGCGUACUAAUCCAAACAGCACGUACUCAUGCCUUACACAGGAACUCAUCGAUGGAACCGAAUCUACGAAAUCGAGCGGCGCAUUUAUUGAAAAGAAGCGAUUUUACUGGAAAAAAAUAUUUUAUUUUGUUUUAGAAGAAGGGAUUUUACUCCGAAAAACAGAUGUAUCGGAAACAACCAAACAACGUUAGUAAUAAAAGGCGCCAAGUUUUGCAAUAUUUUAUCAGUUCUUCAAAAGAAAUAACAUGAACAAGUCAGCACUUCUACUUUUGCUUCUCAUCGGACUUCUCGUCCUCACUGAAACUACAACUGCGUGGUGGAGUAAGGUAGGUCGUCGUCGUGGUUCCCAUACCCCUUAUGACGAACUGGAAUUGUCACAAAUAAACGAAAUUCCAGACAUGGAGUCCGAGGACGGUUUCAUUUGGUAUAAUGGACAAGAAUAACUACUUAAUCGUGCAUAAGCUGCAAUCGUACGAUUUUAAUAAAUUGAACAUCAGCAAAACAU